UGAACUCUUUAAGAAACGCAGC
This 22-nucleotide microRNA is filed under the name Callorhinchus milii (elephant shark). RNAcentral describes it as "eshark_NOVEL_89". The record is from RNAcentral. Lineage: Eukaryota; Metazoa; Chordata; Chondrichthyes; Chimaeriformes; Callorhinchidae.